CAAGUGGUUGGUUUAUGCACAGUAACUGUGGCUGAUGUUAAUGCAUUUAUCGUUUAAAUUCUGACACAUUUCAACAACAAACUAUACUGCGCAAGUGGCUAUAUCGCACAGCAAAUCAAGUGUGGCAGCGAGACAUAGAACUACAUAGGGAAUCCACCGAAAAUCAGAUUAUUCGGAAAUAGACUUCACUGGAUCUUUGGAAACAGAAAAUAAUUACAUCGCUCUUUAUAGAACUCCUGUGUCGAGAUCCCAACAAGUAUGAAAGGGUCGAUGCUCAUUCCAAUUCUAAUAUUUUGCUUGAAAGAAGUCGUCGCAGCCACAGUAGGCACAAAGUUUUCCCAAAACCCAGAAAUAAAAAAUAUCGGAUUGGGAGAUUCAACAAAUUCAAGCUAUACUUCGAAUGCCUGUCAUUUCGACUGGUCGCUCAAGGAUGUCGUAAGAUUGAUGCGUGAUAGCAAAACGAAUGUGAUUAAGCUGAAUGUUUGGACUCAGCUGGCAGACAAU
Long non-coding RNA from Dendronephthya gigantea, 504 nucleotides. RefSeq lists it as uncharacterized. Lineage: Eukaryota; Metazoa; Cnidaria; Anthozoa; Malacalcyonacea; Nephtheidae. The record is from RefSeq and is a predicted model, not a curated record. The transcript has 3 exons.